AUUGAACGCUGGCGGCAUGCUUUACACAUGCAAGUCGAACGGCAGCGCGGGCUUCGGCCUGGCGGCGAGUGGCGAACGGGUGAGUAAUACAUCGGAAAGUGCCCAGUAGUGGGGGAUAGCUCGGCGAAAGCCGGAUUAAUACCGCAUACGACCUGAGGGGGAAAGCGGGGGAUCUUCGGACCUCGCGCUAUUGGAGCGGCCGAUGGCAGAUUAGCUAGUUGGUGGGGUAAAGGCCUGCCAAGGCGACGAUCUGUAGCUGGUCUGAGAGGACGACCAGCCACACUGGGACUGAGACACGGCCCAGACUCCUACGGGAGGCAGCAGUGGGGAAUUUUGGACAAUGGGCGAAAGCCUGAUCCAGCAAUGCCGCGUGUGUGAUGAAGGCCUUCGGGUUGUAAAGCACUUUUGGCGGGAACGAAAAUGACUGUGCCAAUACCACGGUUCGAUGACGGUACCCGCAGAAUAAGCACCGGCUAACUACGUG
RNAcentral lists this ribosomal RNA (484 nucleotides) under uncultured bacterium. RNAcentral's name for it is "partial 16S ribosomal RNA". It matches the Rfam family "Bacterial small subunit ribosomal RNA", at positions 29 to 507 of the family's 1533-position model. The record is from RNAcentral.